Mycena galopus ATCC 62051 is the source of this 94-nucleotide non-coding RNA. The record is from the annotation of a GenBank genome assembly. NCBI's taxonomy places the organism in Eukaryota, Fungi, Basidiomycota, Agaricomycetes, Agaricales, Mycenaceae.
GACCUCAUAGCUUAGUUGGUAAAAGCGCCUCCUCUUUGUGGACGUCCUCUAUGAAGUUUGGGAGGAGUCCUGGGUUCGAGCCCCAGUGAGGCCA